AGGAUCCCUUACCUUCCUUCUCGAG
RNAcentral lists this non-coding RNA (25 nucleotides) under Arabidopsis thaliana (thale cress). Lineage: Eukaryota; Viridiplantae; Streptophyta; Magnoliopsida; Brassicales; Brassicaceae. The record is from RNAcentral.